UUAAGCGACUAAGCGUACACGGUGGAUGCCCUGGCAGUCAGAGGCGAUGAAGGACGUGCUAAUCUGCGAAAAGCGUCGGUAAGGUGAUAUGAACCGUUAUAACCGGCGAUGUCCGAAUGGGGAAACCCAGUGUGAUUCGUCACACUAUCGUUAACUGAAUACAUAGGUUAACGAGGCGAACCGGGGGAACUGAAACAUCUAAGUACCCCGAGGAAAAGAAAUCAACCGAGAUUCCCCCAGUAGCGGCGAGCGAACGGGGAGCAGCCCAGAGUCUGAAUCAGCUUGUGUGUUAGUGGAACGGUCUGGAAAGUCCGACGGUACAGGGUGAUAGUCCCGUACACCAAAAUGCACAGGYUGUGAACUCGAAGAGUAGGGCGGGACACGUGGUAUCCUGUCUGAAUAUGGGGGGACCAUCCUCCAAGGCUAAAUACUCCUGACUGACCGAUAGUGAACCAGUACCGUGAGGGAAAGGCGAAAAGAACCCCGGCGAGGGGAGUGAAAAAGAACCUGAAACCGUGUACGUACAAGCAGUGGGAGCACCUUCGGGUGUGACUGCGUACCUUUUGUAUAAUGGGUCAGCGACUUAUAUUCUGUAGCAAGGUUAACCGUAUAGGGGAGCCGCAGGGAAACCGAGUCUUAACUGGGCGUUAAGUUGCAGGGUAUAGACCCGAAACCCGGUGAUCUAGCCAUGGGCAGGUUGAAGGUUGGGUAACACUAACUGGAGGACCGAACCGACUAAUGUUGAAAAAUUAGCGGAUGACUUGUGGCUGGGGGUGAAAGGCCAAUCAAACCGGGAGAUAGCUGGUUCUCCCCGAAAGCUAUUUAGGUAGCGCCUCGUGAAUUCAUCUUCGGGGGUAGAGCACUGUUUCGGCUAGGGGGUCAUCCCGACUUACCAACCCGAUGCAAACUACGAAUACCGAAGAAUGUUAUCACGGGAGACACACGGCGGGUGCUAACGUCCGUCGUGAAGAGGGAAACAACCCAGACCGCCAGCUAAGGUCCCAAAGUCAUGGUUAAGUGGGAAACGAUGUGGGAAGGCACAGACAGCCAGGAUGUUGGCUUAGAAGCAGCCAUCAUUUAAAGAAAGCGUAAUAGCUCACUGGUCGAGUCGGCCUGCGCGGAAGAUGUAACGGGGCUAAACCAUGCACCGAAGCUGCGGCAGCGACACUAUGUGUUGUUGGGUAGGGGAGCGUUCUGUAAGCCUGCGAAGGUGUGCUGUGAGGCAUGCUGGAGGUAUCAGAAGUGCGAAUGCUGACAUAAGUAACGAUAAAGCGGGUGAAAAGCCCGCUCGCCGGAAGACCAAGGGUUCCUGUCCAACGUUAAUCGGGGCAGGGUGAGUCGACCCCUAAGGCGAGGCCGAAAGGCGUAGUCGAUGGGAAACAGGUUAAUAUUCCUGUACUUGGUGUUACUGCGAAGGGGGGACGGAGAAGGCUAUGUUAGCCGGGCGACGGUUGUCCCGGUUUAAGCAUGUAGGCUGGUURUCCAGGCAAAUCCGGAUAAUCAAGGCUGAGGUGUGAUGACGAGGCACUACGGUGCUGAAGUAACAAAUGCCCUGCUUCCAGGAAAAGCCUCUAAGCAUCAGGUAACAUCAAAUCGUACCCCAAACCGACACAGGUGGUCAGGUAGAGAAUACCAAGGCGCUUGAGAGAACUCGGGUGAAGGAACUAGGCAAAAUGGUGCCGUAACUUCGGGAGAAGGCACGCUGGUGUGUAGGUGAAGUCCCUGCGGAUGGAGCUGAGACCAGUCGAAGAUACCAGCUGGCUGCAACUGUUUAUUAAAAACACAGCACUGUGCAAACACGAAAGUGGACGUAUACGGUGUGACGCCUGCCCGGUGCCGGAAGGUUAAUUGAUGGGGUUAUCCGUAAGGAGAAGCUCUUGAUCGAAGCCCCGGUAAACGGCGGCCGUAACUAUAACGGUCCUAAGGUAGCGAAAUUCCUUGUCGGGUAAGUUCCGACCUGCACGAAUGGCGUAAUGAUGGCCAGGCUGUCUCCACCCGAGACUCAGUGAAAUUGAACUCGCUGUGAAGAUGCAGUGUACCCGCGGCAAGACGGAAAGACCCCGUGAACCUUUACUAUAGCUUGACACUGAACAUUGAGCCUUGAUGUGUAGGAUAGGUGGGAGGCUUUGAAGCGUGGACGCCAGUCUGCGUGGAGCCAACCUUGAAAUACCACCCUUUAAUGUUUGAUGUUCUAACGUUGGCCCCUKACCGGGGUUGCGGACAGUGUCUGGUGGGUAGUUUGACUGGGGCGGUCUCCUCCCAAAGCGUAACGGAGGAGCACGAAGGUUAGCUAAUCCUGGUCGGACAUCAGGAGGUUAGUGCAAUGGCAUAAGCUAGCUUGACUGCGAGCGUGACGGCGCGAGCAGGUGCGAAAGCAGGUCAUAGUGAUCCGGUGGUUCUGAAUGGAAGGGCCAUCGCUCAACGGAUAAAAGGUACUCCGGGGAUAACAGGCUGAUACCGCCCAAGAGUUCAUAUCGACGGCGGUGUUUGGCACCUCGAUGUCGGCUCAUCACAUCCUGGGGCUGAAGUAGGUCCCAAGGGUAUGGCUGUUCGCCAUUUAAAGUGGUACGCGAGCUGGGUUUAGAACGUCGUGAGACAGUUCGGUCCCUAUCUGCCGUGGGCGCUGGAGAAUUGAGGGGGGCUGCUCCUAGUACGAGAGGACCGGAGUGGACGCAUCACUGGUGUUCGGGUUGUCAUGCCAAUGGCACUGCCCGGUAGCUAAAUGCGGAAGAGAUAAGUGCUGAAAGCAUCUAAGCACGAAACUUGCCCCGAGAUGAGUUCUCCCUGAGACUUUAAGUCUCCUGAAGGAACGUUAAAGACGAUGACGUUGAUAGGCCGGGUGUGUAAGCGCAGCGAUGCGUUGAGCUAACCGGUACUAAUGAACCGUGAGGCUUAACCU
Molecule: ribosomal RNA, 2899 nt
Filed under: Klebsiella pneumoniae
Lineage: Bacteria; Pseudomonadati; Pseudomonadota; Gammaproteobacteria; Enterobacterales; Enterobacteriaceae
Description: 23S ribosomal RNA
Source: RNAcentral